UAUGUCCAAGUUCCGAAGGAGAAGAGGACCGGAUGACAAAGGUAAGUAAGAAAAUGACCUUAUUAAGUGUGAAGAUUCUAAGGCUUAUCAAUUUUAUACACCUGAAUAAUUGCAGUGUUUGGUUUCCAGAAAUGCAAUACUUAUCUUAUGGAAUUUGAAUUGAAAAGCCAUCUCUCUUUCUUUACUGACAAUCAAGCCUGAUUGAUGAAGAAGAGGAGAUUGUUGAGCUGUUAAGUACAAGUAUGCGUCAUAAGCUUUCAAUUGCAGCCGCUUACUUUAUGAGCUAUUAGGUGCUACCGCACUAUGGAUAUCAUGGCGUGUCCACGCUAUUCUCCCGGCGUUCCAUGUUGUCGCUCAGACCUCCGCUUGUUGGUUUGGUGGUUGUGUGGUAUUUAAUAGAAUUCAACAUGUUGCCGUGCCUCUGUAGCUUUUGUCUUCGCCCUUCGACUUCCGACUUCGGCUUUUAGACUAAAGUGAUUAAAACAUGCCUUGCCUUCCGUCGCUUUCGGAUAAGACUAAGUAACCUUACCAAAAACCUGACACGCUACGGCCUGACUUUGAAGCCGCAAGCUUACACGUGUAACUCCAAUUAAUCACCAAAGGAUGCUUUCAUAUUGACGUGGUUGUACAGGAAGAGCCCCAAGCCCUACAGACAGGAAGGAGAGGGAGAGGAAAGUAAUAAGAAGUCUAAGUCUGAGAGCCCCCCUAAGCCCCAAAGAAAGGGGGAACUCCUAAAAGACACAAAAGAUGUCCGGUUGUUGGUAUCU
This 767-nucleotide long non-coding RNA is filed under the name Elaeis guineensis (African oil palm). RNAcentral's name for it is "long non-coding RNA (EGUI_LNC070406)". The record is from RNAcentral. Lineage: Eukaryota; Viridiplantae; Streptophyta; Magnoliopsida; Arecales; Arecaceae.